Molecule: unclassified non-coding RNA, 250 nt
Filed under: plant metagenome
Description: partial contains small subunit ribosomal RNA, internal transcribed spacer 1, and 5.8S ribosomal RNA
Rfam family: 5.8S ribosomal RNA (bases 174-250)
Source: RNAcentral
GUAGGUGAACCUGCGGAGGGAUCAUUACCGAGCGAGGGCCUCGCGCCCGACCUCCAACCCUUCGAAGUGACCAACUCUGUUGCCUUGGGGGCGACCCGGCCCCCGUGCCGGGGCCCCCAACGGACCACACAAACCCUGCGUUUUCGCGUCGGAGUUUAAAGGAAAUCAAUUAAAACUUUCAGCAACGGAUCUCUUGGUUCUAGCAUCGAUGAAGAACGCAGCAUCUGACUGACUUCAGGUUGCGGAAUCU